RNAcentral lists this transfer RNA (72 nucleotides) under Bos taurus (domestic cattle). It matches the Rfam family "tRNA". From Rfam's summary of the family: Transfer RNA (tRNA) molecules are approximately 80 nucleotides in length. Their secondary structure includes four short double-helical elements and three loops (D, anti-codon, and T loops). Further hydrogen bonds mediate the characteristic L-shaped molecular structure. tRNAs have two regions of fundamental functional importance: the anti-codon, which is responsible for specific mRNA codon recognition, and the 3' end, to which the tRNAs corresponding amino acid is attached (by aminoacyl-tRNA synthetases). tRNAs cope with the degeneracy of the genetic code in two manners: having more than one tRNA (with a specific anti-codon) for a particular amino acid; and 'wobble' base-pairing, i.e. permitting non-standard base-pairing at the 3rd anti-codon position. Lineage: Eukaryota; Metazoa; Chordata; Mammalia; Artiodactyla; Bovidae. RNAcentral also lists the same sequence under 1 other name. The record is from Rfam by way of RNAcentral.
UCCCUGGUGGCUCAAAUGGUAAAGAAUCUGCCUGCAAUGCAGGAGAUCCAGGUUUGAUCCCUGGGUUGGGAG